AUGGCCAGCCCCAGGUGUGUUUCCAGGGUACAGACGACCAAGGACAGAGUAGAAGGAAGUCACUCUGACCACCAGAAAACAGCCAAGGGAACUCCUGAGGCUUUUGCUACACGACUGAACAGGUUUGGGGCCCUCCAGAUACCAAUGGCAAAGAGAACGCUUUAUGGGGAUUUCUAUGUGGAACGUGACUCCUUUGGAUCUUCAGUAAGCCGCUUUGCAGUGCCGCCCAAGGAUGACAAGAAGAAGAAGGAUGCUGGAAAGUCGGCCAAGAAAGACAAAGACCCAGUGAACAAAUCUGGGGGCAACGCCAAAAAGAAGAAGUGGUCCAAAGGCAAGGUUCGGGACAAGCUCAAUAACAGUCUUGUUUGACAAAGCUACCUACGACAAACUCUGUAAGGAAGUUCCCAACUAUAAACUUAUAACCCCAGCUGUGGUCUCUGAGAGACUGAAGAUUCGAGGCUCCCUGGCCAGGGCAGCCCUUCAGGAGCUCCUUAGUAAAGGACUUAUCAAACUGGUUUCAAAGCACAGAGCUCAAGUAAUUUAUACCAGAAAUACCAAGGGCAGAGAUGCUCCAGCUGCUGGUGAAGAUGCAUGAA
RNA transcript from Rhinopithecus roxellana (golden snub-nosed monkey), 596 nucleotides. It is a transcript of the gene named 40S ribosomal protein S25-like, with no coding region annotated. The record is from RefSeq and is a predicted model, not a curated record. The transcript is spliced from 4 exons. NCBI's taxonomy places the organism in Eukaryota, Metazoa, Chordata, Mammalia, Primates, Cercopithecidae.